AUGAUGUACACGCGCGCGCGCGCGCUCUGGGCGGCGCUGCUGCUCGUCGCGCUGGCGGCGGCGGUGCCCGGGGCGGUGCGGGGGCAGGGCGGCCUCGCCUCGCGGGCGGAUCUCGCGGGGCUCUACACGCUGCGGGGCGCGCUCGGGCUGCGGGCGCGGGACUGGCCGCGCAAGGCGGACCCGUGCUCCGCGUGGGCCGGCGUGGGCUGCCGGGGCGGCCGCGUCGUGUCCGUCAGCCUCGCCGGCCUGCGGCGCACGCGGCUGGGCCGCCUCGCCCCGCGCUUCGACGUCGGCGGCCUGCGCAACCUCUCGCGGCUCGAGUCCUUCACCGCCGCCGGCUUCGGCCUCCCCGGCUCCAUCCCGGCGUGGCUCGGCGCGGGGCUCGCGCCCACCUUCCGGGCCCUCGACCUCUCCGCCUGCGCCGUCACGGGGGAGAUCGCCGCCUCGGCCCUUGCGGGGCUCAGCAACCUCACCACCCUCAACCUCGCCGGCAAUCUGCUCUCCGGGCAACUACCGGCCGCCGCGCUGGCGGGGCUCCCGAAGUUAGGGACUCUCAACCUCUCCGGCAAUGCCUUCUCCGGCGCGCUACCUGACGCGGUGUGGUCGCUCCCGGAGCUGCGCGUUCUCGAUGUGUCUCAGACUAACCUCACUGGCGCACUGCCGGGGGCAGGGAUUGCGCCGUCAGCCACCUUGCAGACGGUGGAUCUGUCUGGGAACCUAUUCUAUGGCACCGUGCAGGACACCUUCCGUCAGCUGUUCAACCGGGUGACGGCCAAUAUCUCUGGGAAUUACUUUGAGGGCAAGCUGUCAAGUGUUGCCGGUGGUGGAAAUGUGUCCUCUGAGAUGAACUGCUUCCUUGACGUUGCCGGGCAGCGUAGCCCGGAGGAUUGCCAACAAUUCUAUGCUGGGCGUGGACUGCCAUACGAUGGGCCGGUUGCCGCACCAACGCCACAGCCUGAGCCUGCGCCUUCGCCUGAAAAGAAGAAUGGAAGGCACAAGAAUUUGAAGUAUAUAUUGAUUGGGGCCAUUGGUGGCGGUGUCCUGCUUCUAGCCGUGGUUGCAGCCGUUGUGUAUUGCAUUGUGUGUUCUAGGAGGGGUAGGAGUGAUCAGAGGGAAAGUGGCGCUCCAAGUGCACCGUCAGGAGUGCAUGGGAGUUCAAGGGCUGCGGCAGCUACUGGUGCCACACAGCCUUCUGCCUCGCCCGCAAGUUUGGCAAAGGUUGGUGAUUCAUUUGCUUAUGACCAGCUCGCCAGUGCCACCUCGGGGUUUGCGGAGGAGAGGAUUAUCAAGCAUGGUCAUUCAGGUGAUCUAUACCAUGGUGUGCUCCAAGAUGGGACCACCGUGGUCGUGAAGAGGAUCACUACCCGUGUCGCUAGGAAAGAUGCGUAUAUGACGGAGUUAGAUUUAUUUGCGAAGGGAUUGCAUGAAAGGCUGGUGCCCUUAAUUGGUCAUUGCUUUGAUAAAGAGGAUGAGAAGCUUCUUGUGUAUAGGUUUGUCCGUAAUGGUGACUUGUCAUGUGCACUGCACAGAAAGACAGGGGAGGAAGAGGAGGGAAUGCAAUCGUUGGAUUGGAUAAAGAGGUUGAAGAUUGCAACAGGCGUCGCGGAGGCACUGUGCUACCUUCAUCACGAGUGUACUCCACCCAUGGUUCACAGGGAUGUGCAAGCCAGCAGUAUCCUCCUUGAUGAUAAAUUUGAAGUGCGUCUUGGAAGUUUGAGUGAAGUUUGUCGUCAAGAAGGGGAAAGUCACCAAAACGUCAUCACAAAGCUAUUACGAUUCUCAUCGACGGCGGAUCAAAGUUCUUCUGGUUCUCCAUCUGCAUCAUGUUCAUACGAUGUCUACUGCUUUGGAAAAGUAUUGCUGGAGCUGGUGACAGGGAGACUUGGUAUCAGUGCAUCAAGUGACGGUACAACAAGUGAUUGGCUUGAUAACACCCUGAGGUACAUCAACAUUUAUGAGAAAGAGCUCAUGAGCAAAAUCAUUGACCCAACCCUCAUUAUUGAUGAGGAUCAUUUGGAGGAAGUCUGGGCAAUGGCAAUUGUCGCAAAGUCUUGUUUGAAUCCUAGGUCUUCGAAACGGCCACCAAUGAAAUAUAUCCUAAAAGCACUUGAGAAUCCCUUGAAAGUGGUAAGAGAAGAUAAUGGCUCUAGCUCGGCCAGGUUGAGAGCAACAUCUUCAAGGGGUUCGUGGAAUGCUGCAUUCUUCGGGAGUUGGCGGCAUAGCUCGUCAGAGAUUGGUCCUUCAAGGGAUGAUAACAUGUUUAAGCGGUCAGAGACAAUCAAAUCAUCCGGCGGGAGCAAUGGUGAUCAUUCUUCGUCCCGCAGGAGGCAAUCUAAGGAGAUCUUCCCCGAGCCAUCUGGUUCUCGUGACACAGAGGAUUAA
Molecule: ribosomal RNA, 2382 nt
Filed under: Triticum aestivum (bread wheat)
Lineage: Eukaryota; Viridiplantae; Streptophyta; Magnoliopsida; Poales; Poaceae
Description: partial small subunit ribosomal RNA
Source: RNAcentral